RNAcentral lists this transfer RNA (69 nucleotides) under Urocitellus parryii (Arctic ground squirrel). RNAcentral's name for it is "Spermophilus parryii (Arctic ground squirrel) tRNA". It matches the Rfam family "tRNA". Rfam says of the family: Transfer RNA (tRNA) molecules are approximately 80 nucleotides in length. Their secondary structure includes four short double-helical elements and three loops (D, anti-codon, and T loops). RNAcentral also lists the same sequence under 1 other name. Lineage: Eukaryota; Metazoa; Chordata; Mammalia; Rodentia; Sciuridae. The record is from Rfam by way of RNAcentral.
GGGGUUGUGGCUCAGCGGUAGAGCACUUGCCUACCAUGUAUAAGGCUCUGGGUUUGAUCCUCAGCACCA